This 4077-nucleotide unclassified non-coding RNA is filed under the name Melitaea cinxia (Glanville fritillary). RNAcentral describes it as "misc RNA ENSMCXG00005000291.1". The record is from RNAcentral. Lineage: Eukaryota; Metazoa; Arthropoda; Insecta; Lepidoptera; Nymphalidae.
AUUAAUCAUUCAUUUUCAAAAUGGCGAACGUUUAGGUUGUGUGUUACUGUUAUCUUUUUUGUUUUUUUUAUAAAUUUUACACGCUGUUGACUUGACUUUGAGCUUUAAUGGGUCGGUCGCCGAGUCCGCGGCGGCGUGAAGACCGACGUGACCGCAGGGAAAGGGACAGGGACCGCGACCGGGACCGCGAGAGGCGAAGGCCUAGGACCCGGUCACGAUCCCGCUCUCUAGACCGUCGGAGGCGCUCCCCCGAACGCCGACGCUCACCCUCCCCACGAAGAAGAAGAUCGCGAUCAAUAUCGCCGACACCGACCACGUCAUUCGUGCCCAAACCGAAAAAGAACUUCGGCGAACGGCCCAUAGUCACGCCCGCAGAUUUGGAGGGAAAAACGCCCGAGGAGCAAGAAAUGUUGAAGGUUAUGGGUUUCUGCGGCUUCGAUACCACAAAAGGUAAGAAAGUCGAAGGUAAUGUUGAAGGAGAUGUUCACUUAGUACUGAAACGGAAAUAUAGACAAUACAUGAACAGGAAGGGUGGUUUCAACCGACCGUUGGACUUUGUCGCUUAACUGUAACCCACAACCUAAUAUACUUGUUUGUUUGGCCCCAGGGUCGCUUGAUGUGAUAUUAAUUCUUUUAAAGCUUGCUUGUAUCAACUGAUUAACUUAUUUAUACAUAUCAAAUAUUCAUGAAAGUGCUCAAAUUAAAGCAAGGAUUGCACUAAAGGUUGACCUUGACCUUGUAAGAUGUUACAAGAAGGGUUAAAAACGUUUAAAUAUGAACAACAGAAAGUUGAAUCAGUUGUAUGAACAAGCUUUAAGAACGAUUCUAUUAGAUAUAAGUGUUACAAUGUUUUCCAUUUUGUAUUGAAACUGGUUUUUGAGUUUUGGCUGUGAUAUACGAACAGACAGUAAUUUUAUACAUAUUAUAUACAACAGUGUUUACUGAGAUGGUAUGUUUUAUAAACCUUGAAGUAAAAUUCUAGACAUUUUUUACUUCAAAUGCAUUACAAGACCAUAUUUCAUAUCAACAAUUACAGUUUUACCAUAAAUUUGACAAUAGCUCUAAUAUUAGUCAAUUAUAUAUAUUUUAAUACCGUAUAAAUAUUUAACACUUGUACUCUCAUGACACCAACAUUCUUAGCAGAGCAUUUACCCUAAACAUAAAAUCAUAGACUCACUCUGACAUUGGCAAAUCCUCACGGAAGCCAUUAUACAAGAAUAAGAAGAAUUAUGUAUUAAUAAAACGAAGUUUAUCUAAUUGCAUAAAAAGUGCAAUACAGUAAAAAUGAGUCAACAAAAUACCUUUGAAAAACUAUAAUUAUUGAAAGUUAUAAUUGGAAAUAUUGUUACUAAUUUUUGUGUCGGAACACAAGACUUACAUCUUACAUAAUAUAAAGAGAAAAGAUUACAAAUAUGUUCUGCAUACCAAUUCUACGUAAUGAACGAAAUGCACCGCUAACUUUUAUAAACAAAAACAAUUAAAAAUAAAACUAUCGCAACCAAAACUCAAGAAAAAUAUUGCCACAAAACUAUGAAAUUAAAUUACACCUUUUUAAAUACAUUGACGGACUGGAACAACUCGGAAAACCCAAAAGGUUAAUGUUAAACAUGAACUAAAAAAUUGCAACCUUAUGCAUAAAUAUAUUUCACAACAAAUUUAGCGGUCAAUAAAACUUAAUAUAACUAAAUUUAUAGUGUAAAUAGGGAUAUAGCCAGUACAAGUCCAGUCUUGUUGAUAUUGACUAAUAUAGCCAAAAUAGUAUUUGCUAUGUUCAAAAAACAAUUUGCUAAUAAAAUUGACCAGUAACAUUAUGGGACUAGUAAAAUUAAAAAUUUGAUGCAAAGUAUUGUUUGAUAAAUAUACAUAAAAGACUUGGUGCUUGUCAGCUUGAGACACUAUAUUUGAGAAUUGAGACAUAUGAAGACAUGUCCAGUGCAAAUUAUCCAUCUAUAACAACAUUUAAUAACUUUUUGGUAUGCUGAAAGCAUAAAUACAUAAUUUUUAAUACACUUAAACAGUUCCAGUGCAAAUUAGCCGAAUAUACUUAUUCAAUGACAAGGUUUUGUGGCAAAUGUAGUUGUAAGUUAGUCGUAAGCCCGUUACCUCAGUGCCCGCGCGCAGCUAAGGCCCGCGCGGGCUCCGGCUAUAGCGCUCUGCGCACCAAGAAGCCCUAUGGAGUCGGUUCGGAAGUGAUAUUAUGGUGUGUGAAGUUUCUAUAAUGGGGAAAUGGCUAUCUAUGACUGGCUAUGACUAGUAUAUUCUAUUACCAUUUUACAUUUAUUAUAAUAAUGAUGAUCGGUGAUACAAAACAUUUAGAUUCACACAUCACAGAAGCUAAUUUCUUUGUUAGAUGUUCAGAAUAUCAAAAGAAGUUAGUCUUUGCUUGGUAAAAGAAGAUAUCAAAAAUACAUGCUUAAUUUACUUUUUAACACAAUAAAAUUGUACAUAAAACUGAAAAGAUAACAAAAUUACAUAAUUUUCAAAUAAUUUUCAUUUUCAAAACAGAAAAGUAUCUCUAUAAUAUAUAUGUAUACAAUAUUUAUCUCAGAUUUCUACCAAAUAGCCAACCUAUCACAAGCAGAAACCGUUGAAUAGAAAACCCCCACAGAAUUAUGGUAUAACUUCACAUAACCGUCCCAUAAGACUGAUUUGUCGUGGCCGUGUUGAACGUUGCCCGCGCGACGCGACUCACCAUAGAUAUAUUUAUACACUUUACACACAAUCCCCCCAGAUGAUCCCCCUCUCCUCCACAAUGUACAAUAGUUAAAGAUUUACGGAUCAGAGUGUGGUUUUAACAAUGUUUUUGUCGAUAUAGGUAAUUAAGAUGAGUUGAACUUGUAAAAUAUAUUUUUUAUAUUAAAAAAUUUAUUAAUUUCAAUGUUAUUCAGUAUUAUUUUAAAAUAUUAAUUUUUUAGAUAAAUAUGAUUCAACUUUGUGCAUAUAAAGGUUUAAAUUGUUGAUUGAUUCAGGCUGUCCCACUGCUGGGCAUAGGCCUCUUUCUCCGUGUAUCAGAAGGAUCAGAACAAAAAAAAAAGAUUAAAACUAAAUUCAUAUUCUUAUAUUUUUGUAUACACAAAUUCUCCAUCUUAACAUACUUAGAGGCAAAUCAAUGUUGAUAAAACCGCUCUCUGUACCGUGGAUCUCCAUAGACCAUAUACAAUUAUACAAAUGUUGCAUAUAUAUGAAAUAUUUAGUGUAAGCGCACACGCGCCGCGCGGGGGUCCGACAGCAAUAGAAGUCAGAUCCGAACCGACUUCAUCUGGUUUGUCACUCCACCGCACCCCUCGAAUGAAUCUCAUUGAAAUUUACACAUUCCGAAGCUAAAUACACAUUAAAACUAAGCUGUGUACUGUAAUUUUGAUGAAAAUCGAACGUAUGUCAGUAAAUUAUAACUGCAAAAACCAAAAACAGGUUAAUUUGUGUCAUGAUAUGAAUUGAUUUUUUCAGAACUGUAAUCAUAAAAUUGCUAUUUCUUUUGGAAAGAUGUUUACCAACUUGUAAUAAAAGCAGUUUUAUGAUGUUUAAUUUUCAAUGUUUGAAUAACUAAUGUUAACUGAUUUGUCUAAUAAAACAUUGUCUUAACUCGGCGUUCGUCGCAUCCCUGUAAGCAACACUUUUGCUCGCUACGGGUGAAAAAUACCCAAAUUUUAUAUCGUGUACCCAUUUAUUCUUAUGUAUUAUUAUUAUUAUUAUUUUGUUUAUACGUAAAGGAAGUUUAGUAAAAUGUUAAAUAAAAGUAAGUAAUCAUCGUUAACAGUAUUUAUUAAACAAAUAGAUAAACGCUACAAUUAUAUAGCAAACAGCAACUGUUUUUUGUAAACUACUACUGCAAACAAAAAAAAAAUAUUACUUUUCAUUUUUUUAUCAAUCAUAUGGCUUUAAUUUUUACAAAAACAGUCUUAGUUUUAAUUUAGGAAAAGAAAUUAUACACAUUUAUGAUAUCUUACCUCUCUAAAUCAAUAUAAAAAUAACGAAAUAAAAUUACUAAAAAACAACAAUCAGUCUUAUGUCUUUAGGAACAUGAGUUUUUUUAUAAUAUAAUUAUUCAAUUUUUAGUACGCAUUCAGAACAUACAGG